Molecule: long non-coding RNA, 656 nt
Filed under: Sorghum bicolor (sorghum)
Lineage: Eukaryota; Viridiplantae; Streptophyta; Magnoliopsida; Poales; Poaceae
Description: long non-coding RNA (SBIC_LNC016183)
Source: RNAcentral
GAAUUCCACGAGUUUUGGUGUUUGUCUAUUUCUGCAGGGGGUUAUCAGGAAAUAUGGAAAAGAGGUCCACAUGUCGGGUUAAUGACGGGAUAUUAACUUGACGCGCAAUUAUCUACCAUCUAGAAGAGUCCAGAAGCCACGGGAGCGAACGGGAGACGUGAUGGAGCCGGGCACUGGGCGCCCGCCCUCCCUUACUGGGCGCCCGCCCUCCCCCCUGGACCAAUCAGGGCGAAGCUCGGGGAUCAUGCUCCACCGACCUAAUACUUCAAGGAAAACCACACGAUCAAUGUCGGUUUGAUCCGACGGCCCAGAUUCACUUGAAGGGACUAUAAAACCAGACCCCCCUAGCCCCUGGAGAUCAUACCUCUUCUACAGAAUCAAAGCUAGGGUUUCAAUUCUUCAUCCAAGUAGUGAGGAUCCCUCUAGUUCUUCUAGUUCUACCUCUAGUUCAUCUAGAUCUAGUUCUAGUUCAUCUAGUUCUAGUUCUAGUUCCUCUAGUUCUAGUUCUAGUUAGUUCUAGUUGUAAUCUAGAAAACAAGGAGAGAGAAGAGGAGAGCAGAGGGGGAGGAGCCGGAUCUGUCGGAUCUUCCUCAACAUUGUACUUUUGCAGCAACUGGUUCGUUCUUCAUCGUUCUCCAGGUUCUUCAAUUCAUAAU